This 489-nucleotide ribosomal RNA is filed under the name uncultured bacterium. RNAcentral's name for it is "partial 16S ribosomal RNA". It matches the Rfam family "Bacterial small subunit ribosomal RNA", at positions 30 to 506 of the family's 1533-position model. The record is from RNAcentral.
AUUGAACGCUGGCGGCAGGCCUAACACAUGCAAGUCGAACGGUAACAGGAAGCAGCUUGCUGCUUUGCUGACGAGUGGCGGACGGGUGAGUAAUGUCUGGGAAACUGCCCGAUGGAGGGGGAUAACUACUGGAAACGGUAGCUAAUACCGCAUAACGUCGCAAGACCAAAGAGGGGGACCUUAGGGCCUCUUGCCAUCGGAUGUGCCCAGAUGGGAUUAGCUAGUAGGUGGGGUAACGGCUCACCUAGGCGACGAUCCCUAGCUGGUCUGAGAGGAUGACCCGCCACACGGGAACUGAGACACGGUCCCGACUCCUAGGGGAGGCCGCAGUGGGAAAUAUUGCACAAGGGGCGCAAGCCUGAUGCAGCCACGCCGGGUGUAUGAAGAAGGCCUUCGGGUUGUAAAGUCCUUUCCGCGGGGGGGAAGGGAGGAAAUUUAACACCUUUGCUCUUUGCCUUUCCCCGCAGAAGAAGCCCCGCCUACCUCCGU